UACAGAGGGUGCAAGCGUUGUUCGGAAUUACUGGGCGUAAAGUGUGCGCAGGCGGCCGAGCAAGUCGAGUGUGAAAGCCCCGAGCUUAACUUGGGAACUGCGCUCGAAACUACUUGGCUAGAGUGUGGCAGAGGGAGGUGGAAUUCCACGUGUAGCGGUGAAAUGCGUAGAGAUGUGGAGGAACACCGAUGGCGAAGGCAGCCUCCUGGGCCAACACUGACGCUCAUGCACGAAAGCGUGGGGAGCAAACAGG
Molecule: ribosomal RNA, 253 nt
Filed under: uncultured bacterium
Lineage: Bacteria
Description: partial 16S ribosomal RNA
Rfam family: Bacterial small subunit ribosomal RNA
Source: RNAcentral